AUGGUUUAUGCAAUGGUACAAGGCUUAUCAUUAAGGCAUUUCAAGAGAACGCUAUUGAUGCAUAAAUUAUUGGCGGACAAUAUGCUGGGAAGCGAGUGUUCCUUCCACGAAUUCCUCUCUAUCCUUCAGAGGAUGAUGUUCUCCCCUUCAAGUUUAAAAGAAAGCAAUUUCCAAUUCAGCUUAGUUUUGCCAUGA
RNAcentral lists this ribosomal RNA (195 nucleotides) under Triticum aestivum (bread wheat). Its description in RNAcentral is "partial small subunit ribosomal RNA". Lineage: Eukaryota; Viridiplantae; Streptophyta; Magnoliopsida; Poales; Poaceae. The record is from RNAcentral.